UACGUAGGGGGCUAGCGUUGUCCGGAAUCAUUGGGCGUAAAGAGCGUGUAGGCGGCCCGGUAAGUCCGCUGUGAAAGUCGGGGGCUCAACCCUCGGAUGCCGGUGGAUACUGUCGGGCUAGAGUACGGAAGAGGCGAGUGGAAUUCCUGGUGUAGCGGUGAAAUGCGCAGAUAUCAGGAGGAACACCUAUUGCGAAGGCGGCUCUCUGGACCAGCACUGACACUGAGGCACGAAAGCGUGGGGAGCAAACAGG
RNAcentral lists this ribosomal RNA (253 nucleotides) under uncultured bacterium. RNAcentral's name for it is "partial 16S ribosomal RNA". It matches the Rfam family "Bacterial small subunit ribosomal RNA", at positions 524 to 776 of the family's 1533-position model. The record is from RNAcentral.